Non-coding RNA from Schizosaccharomyces pombe (fission yeast), 709 nucleotides. Lineage: Eukaryota; Fungi; Ascomycota; Schizosaccharomycetes; Schizosaccharomycetales; Schizosaccharomycetaceae. The record is from the annotation of a GenBank genome assembly.
AGCAAGAUAAUUUCACUUACCAAGCAAUAAAAUGAAAAAUAAAGCAGCCGAAAUACUGCAUGUGGAACAGAUGAGUGCCUUAUUUAAGUUUAGUCUACCAUCCUUGACGCAACCAAAGAGUAUAAAACAAAUGACUACCCAUGCGAACCAGAUUGUAACCACUAAAUCUUUUUUUGAGUUAUACAAGCCGACCGCAAUCACCUUUACACAUUGUGCCAAGGAAAUUACAGUCACCUUUAUACAUUGUGCCAAAAAAAUUACAGUUACUUUGACUGCCUUGAUCCAAGUUUCAUAGAAGCCUAAUGAGUUAGUGAAUGAACGUAAGAAUAGUCCUAUCGUGUCACUUACACCAUAAAGAAAUAAAAAUCAUUAGGCAAAUAGCAUACCACACUCCAAAAUAUACCCAUUCAUCUUUGCCAUAAUCUUUAAAGAGAGCGUCCUUAUACGUUAGAUAACAAACUGCGGGUACGUUUAGCACAAAGAUUGAAAUGAAUGAUAAAAAUGCUUUUUUCAACGGAGAGGUAGAAGAAUUAUCUGCCGUCCCGGAAGAAUGGUUUUCUCUAUGUGUGUUAGGAGGAUUAUUUACAAGUGCGUGAUCUGUUUGAAUUAAUAUAAUGAAAUACUUUAGUAAAGAAAGAACAUGUAUCAAAGUGUGUGCAUUGCAUGGCCGACUAUAAACAAUGAUCACAUCCAAGUUAUUUUACAGCAC